GUACAUUCGUGCUUGCGCACAACAUAGUUUCAUUACAUUCGAGUGUGUGUAAAUCCUCUGCCCGCCGAAGCAAGCAAGAGGCCAAAGGUUCACAGGGGACUGGAUGAAAGUCACCAGCGUGCACUUGCCAGAGCUGGCCAGCACUGAAGGCAACGAUUCACAAUCAAUAAUGAUCCUUCCGCAGGUUCACCUACGGAAA
RNAcentral lists this unclassified non-coding RNA (199 nucleotides) under uncultured fungus. RNAcentral describes it as "sequence contains ITS1". Lineage: Eukaryota; Fungi. The record is from RNAcentral.